UAGCGGCGAGUGAAGCGGCAAUAGCUCAAAUUUGAAAUCUGGCGUCUUCGGCGUCCGAGUUGUAAUUUGAAGAAGGUAUCUUUGAGGCUGGCUCUUGUCUAUGUUCCUUGGAACAGGACGUCACAGAGGGUGAGAAUCCCGUGCGAUGAGAUGCCAGUUUCGUGUAAAGUUCCUUCGACGAGUCGAGUUGUUUGGGAAUGCAGCUCUAAGUGGGUGGUAAAUUCCAUCUAAAGCUAAAUAUUGGCGAGAGACCGAUAGCGAACAAGUACUGUGAAGGAAAGAUGAAAAGAACUUUGAAAAGAGAGUGAAAAAGUACGUGAAAUUGUUGAAAGGGAAGGGCUUGAGGUCAGACUUGGUUUACCAGGCCAGCAUCAGUUUGGGUGGCAGGAUAAUAGCUAAGGAAAGUGGCACGAUUUCGGUUGUGUGUUAGCCUUGGUUGAUACUGCCUGCCUAGACUGAGGA
Molecule: ribosomal RNA, 462 nt
Filed under: Yamadazyma diddensiae
Lineage: Eukaryota; Fungi; Ascomycota; Pichiomycetes; Serinales; Debaryomycetaceae
Description: eukaryotic LSU rRNA
Rfam family: Eukaryotic large subunit ribosomal RNA
Source: RNAcentral